UACGUAGGGUGCAAGCGUUGUCCGGAAUUAUUGGGCGUAAAGAGCUCGUAGGCGGUCUGUCGCGUCGGCUGUGAAAUCCCGGAGCUCAACUCCGGGUCUGCAGUCGAUACGGGCAAACUGGAGUACUGCAGGGGAGACUGGAAUUCCUGGUGUAGCGGUGGAAUGCGUAGAGAUCCGGAAGAACACCAGUGGCGAAGGCGGCCCGCUGGGCAGUGGCUGACGCUGAGGCGCGACAGCGUGGGGAGCAAACAGG
This 253-nucleotide ribosomal RNA is filed under the name uncultured bacterium. RNAcentral's name for it is "partial 16S ribosomal RNA". It matches the Rfam family "Bacterial small subunit ribosomal RNA", at positions 524 to 776 of the family's 1533-position model. The record is from RNAcentral.